GGAUACCACUUGGAAACAGGUGCUAAUACCGGAUAACAACAAUAGCUGCAUGGCUAUUGCUUAAAAGGCGGCGAAAGCUGUCGCUAAAGGAUGGACCCGCGGUGCAUUAGCUAGUUGGUAAGGUAAUGGCUUACCAAGGCGACGAUGCAUAGCCGAGUUGAGAGACUGAUCGGCCACAUUGGGACUGAGACACGGCCCAAACUCCUACGGGAGGCAGCAGUAGGGAAUCUUCCACAAUGGGCGAAAGCCUGAUGGAGCAACGCCGCGUGAGUGAAGAAGGUUUUCGGAUCGUAAAGCUCUGUUGUUGGUGAAGAAGGAUAGAGGUAGUAACUGGCCCCUAUUUGACGGUAAUCAACCAGAAAGUCACGGCUAACUACGUGCCAGCAGCCGCGGUAAUACGUAGGUGGCAAGCGUUGUCCGGAUUUAUUGGGCGUAAAGCGAGCGCAGGCGGAAAGAUAAGUCUGAUGUGAAAGCCCCCGGCUUAACCGAGGAAUUGCAUCGGAAACUGUGUUUCUUGAGUGCAGAAGAGGAGAGUGGAACUCCAUGUGUAGCGGUGGAAUGCGUAGAUAUAUGGAAGAACACCAGUGGCGAAGGCGGCUCUCUGGUCUGUAACUGACGCUGAGGCCCGAAAGCAUGGGUAGCGAACAGGAUUAGAUACCCUGGUAGUCCAUGCCGUAAACG
This 681-nucleotide ribosomal RNA is filed under the name uncultured bacterium. RNAcentral describes it as "bacterial SSU rRNA". It matches the Rfam family "Bacterial small subunit ribosomal RNA", at positions 141 to 808 of the family's 1533-position model. The record is from RNAcentral.